This is a non-coding RNA of Chiloscyllium plagiosum (whitespotted bambooshark), 3754 nucleotides long. The record is from RefSeq and is a predicted model, not a curated record. NCBI's taxonomy places the organism in Eukaryota, Metazoa, Chordata, Chondrichthyes, Orectolobiformes, Hemiscylliidae.
UUCAUCAGGUGAUUGUGAUGUACACACUAGAUGGAUUAGCUAGGGAAAAAUGCAAGGUUAUGGGGAUGGCGUAGAUCUGAGUGGAAUACUCCUCAGAGGGUCGGUCUGGACUCGAUAGGCCGAAUAGUCUGCUCCCGCACUGUAGGGAUGCCCAAUGCUAAGGCGCCGUUGUACUUCUACGUCUGCUCCAUUAACAUUUCGCUCAUGUCCACUGCCAACGAUGAAACAGCCUCCGUAAUAAAAGCUGAGCUGUCAGCAGCUCGGGCAAGCCUGAGAGGGCGCCAGGCCCCGUCACCAUGGCAGCGGCUUUCCGCGAGGCGACCACAGAGGGAAAUAGAACUCCCGCUCCCCGCGCGAGGAGGCCACUGCUUUAAGUAACCGUUACCAACCGUCCCAACACACUCCUCCCUUUGUCGAGAGGUCAGUCCCGAAUGUGGGGAACUUGCAGCAAAGGAAAUUCCUUCGGUGCAAGCAUCACGCCGAAAGAGAGAGAAAGCAUUUUUUUAAAUCAGAAAAUGGAAAGAUGUAUUGUUGUUGGAACAAGUUUUGGGAGACCUGUUUGAGUGGUCUCUGAAGUGGAAAGCACAGAAAAUUUACCAUGUUAUUGGAGAACACAGAAGAAGGUGUUGUACACGCAAAGUUCUUAAUGAAUCAGAUCAGGAGAGGUGGACGUACAUGAUUUAACCCCAUUGGAGAAGAUGGUGCUGGCCAUUGAUGAAAAUGUGGCUGAAACCACUGAAGGUAAUGGUAUCCUGCAGUGUUUACCUAAUCCACGUUCUCAUUCCUGCUUCCUCAUCUCACAAAAAUUUCUACAUUACAUUCUGCAGAUAGUCUAAGCACAUAUCUCUUACAAUACCCCUCUCCUGUCAGUGCAGCCUUACCCUUGUAUCUUAUUCCUUUCAGACACCCAAGAGGUCCAAUCUGGCCAGUCAAUAGAGAAACAUUAUGAACAGAGUGAUGAUGAGAAUACAUUGUCACUUGAUUUCACACUUUCAACCACCAGCUCAGAACUGACAAUGCAGGUAUCUUCAAGGGUUAGAGAUGGGGUUGACAUAUGCUGAAACAGCAAGCACGAGUGUUUGGCAGUCAGUGUAUGGAGCAAGAAUCUAGCUAAUGCUAGCUCACUCAACAUCUGCUGUAGAAGACUCAGAAUACACCAUCAAUGUUCUCACAGAAGAAGGUUUGAAGGCAAAGACAAUGAUUGAUGCAUUGAGAAGGUUGCUUGAAAAUCAAAGUGCUUGGCAGAGUCCAUACCAACUUGGCAUAGGGUUUUUCUUGAAGAAUCUGCUUUGCAAAAUGUAAGUUUGCACCAAUUCCAUGAGCACACUUAUGGACCCACCCAACAUAUAACUAUUGACAACUGAUGUCUCAGCCUCUUUUGCAAAAUAAGCAAUCUGUCCUCCAACAAAUUUCUUGGUUGUUAGGCCUGCCCUGGGGGAGUAGCAAUUGGGCUAUGGAGCUCUUCCAGGUUGAUAGCACCUUGCCACCAACCUCCUUAACAUUUCAGCAGUGCCUUUACUGUUGUUCAUCAGCCAGCCAAUCCAGAGGUCCGCUGAGAUGGUGCGAAGUUGAACUAUCUCCUCCCAGAGUUGCUAAAUAUCAUCCUACAAGGCCAUAGGUAGUUUUCUCCAUUAGAAGUCAAUAACCUUCUAUAACCAUGCUUCAGCCUUUGGAGUAGAACUACUACAAACUGGAGCAUCAGAACAGCCAAAGGCAUAUGGAGGACUGCCACCAAGAAAAUGCACAAAGCAUAUUUAAGUUACAUACAAUAUUGCAAGAUAUAAUAAUAACAUAUUAUAGUGAAGCAUAAAUGUAUGGCACAAGAUUCCUUGCUAAGCUUUUGGUAAUAAGACUUCUUGCUGAGCAUGCUGAUCAGAUAUGUCCUUCAACUGAAAGCUCUUUCUUCUCUGCUUCUUGAUGUAGUAACUGGUUCUGCUUUGUAUUACAGCUGCUCAUUCUCCCAAGCAUGCCAUUUUGCAAGGGAAAUACUUACAAUUGCACCCAUAAUUUGGCACCACAGUCUUGAAUCAGGAUGAACUCCUUUAGCACUUACCAUAUCACUCAUUGCAUACCUUAGAAAUAUUAAAGAAGUCCUGUAUAUACCAAAGCGACUUUGAUUGAUUUCUACUGGCACUUGUGACAAUCAAUAACAAACCUGAAAAUGGUUCUGAUCAUUUUCAAUAGUUCUGGGGGAAUGGACUUUUCUGCUAAUCAUCAUCUAAGGCUGAACAAAUGUUUAAGCCAGGAUGCUAACUGGAACACUGCUCUGAAACAACAGCACUGGCAUUCAAUCAGCUUUGAACGCUGAUUUCAUGAUCUGACUACUCUACGUCCUUCUGGAAGAUGCUAACUGUUAUCCUCACCAAAAUUUCAUCCACCAUUAGCUGUGUGAUUACGCUGGACUUUAUUUUGGGCCAUCAUGAUCAAUCAUAGCACACAAAAAAAUGGGCAAUACUCAUCCAUAUUUUGUUAAUCUAUCGUGAUUUCAAAUAUGCAUUUGGGGGAAAAAUAGAUUUUGUCUUUACAUCUAUCCUUGUCCAGGUAGACCAUAAUUGCACAGCCAGACAAUUCAGUGUUUGGACUAUUUUGAUAACAGAUCUGAUGGAAUUAUAGUUGAGAUACUGCAUGAGACAUUGGUUGUCUCCUAAGCUGAGUUUCAUGCCUGUAUUGAAUUUUAUUAUUGCUGAAACUGGUGAAUGACAAAGUUAAUUCAGUACAGUUAAUAAUUGGUAAUUCAGCCUUCAAUCAUGCCUGAAAUCUACUCUGCUUCUACAGGGGCCUUAGGUGACAGGAAAUCUCUGGGGUUGAUUUAUGGAAAUAUUUGGACUGCAACACACUGAACAUUUUUAUAUCUUUAUUUAUCUGUUUCUAUUUCCAGUUCCUCUGUUUACCAUAAAUUUUCCCAGAGACUAUGCUUAGUUAUAGUUUUCAUACUUUUAUAACAAUAUCAUAAUUAAUAAUCUACUUCAGACUAAAAGGAAUGCAUUGCAGAAAUGAUCAUAAUCAUCACAAUCUUAUUGAGGAUUUUGACUGGGUAAACUUCAAAGAACUAUGUAAAUAGUUAACUAGUUGUUUAUCCAUAUCAGUAUGCACAUUUUAAUCAUUCAGCACACAAAGAACUUUCUCAUAACCGGUGAAGUUAAUGAGAUAGAGAUAUAGAUCAGCUGAUUUAAUUUUUGUUUUCUUUCUUUGUAAGUUUCUUCAAAAUACUUGCUGAUAAAGGUACACAUAUUACCUAAAAUAUUUGGUAGUUAUAGUACAGCAUGGCAUUAAACUCAUUUGGUCAGAUGACUAGAGGAUGGUACAGAAUAAUGCCAGUGCACAUGUUAAGUACUUGUACCAGUAUUUAGUUCAUUGAGGCCUGCCUUGCCUUGACCCACAUUGAUGCAGAGUGGUGCCCCUCAAGUUGUCUCUUUCUAAAAGGAUAGAAAUGACCAUUGUCCCUUGGGGACAAUGGGUAAUUACCACACAGAAUGGAACUACUUUGCCCAUCGUCCCUGUGCUGGAUCUCUGGUUUGUCGUAAAAUUCCUGUUUUGUAUUCUGUCAUAUUUGUAAAGUUCCAAAUCCCGUAUGAUUUAUUAAGCAAUCUUUCAGUUUUCUUUGACAUUAUCAAUGAUUUGUGUUCAUAUAGUUGGCAUGUUCCGCUGCUCAUAUGCUGCCUUUAUUUUAGUUUAGAUCAGAUUUCCUACAGUGUGGAAACAGGCCCUUUGGCCCAACAAGUCCACACCGACCCUCCCAAGAGUAACACCCUAG